Molecule: transfer RNA, 70 nt
Filed under: Marmota monax (woodchuck)
Lineage: Eukaryota; Metazoa; Chordata; Mammalia; Rodentia; Sciuridae
Description: tRNA.Undet
Source: RNAcentral
GGGGUUGUGGCUCAGUGGUACAGCGCUUGCCUCACUGCAUGGGGCACUGGGUUUGAUCCUCAGCACCACA